Molecule: transfer RNA, 63 nt
Filed under: Psammophis lineolatus
Lineage: Eukaryota; Metazoa; Chordata; Lepidosauria; Squamata
Description: tRNA-Pro
Source: RNAcentral
CAAAAAGUAGUUUAAGAUAAAAUUCUGGUUUUGGGGAUCAGAGAUGGAGCGCUCCCUUUUUGA